GUUUCCGUAGCUCAGCUGGAUAGAGCACCGCCCUCCUAAGGCGGGUGUCGGGCGUUCGAAUCGCCUCGGGAACACCA
This 77-nucleotide transfer RNA is filed under the name Holdemania filiformis. RNAcentral's name for it is "tRNA-Arg". It matches the Rfam family "tRNA". From Rfam's summary of the family: Transfer RNA (tRNA) molecules are approximately 80 nucleotides in length. Their secondary structure includes four short double-helical elements and three loops (D, anti-codon, and T loops). Lineage: Bacteria; Bacillati; Bacillota; Erysipelotrichia; Erysipelotrichales; Erysipelotrichaceae. The record is from RNAcentral. RNAcentral also lists the same sequence under 1 other name.